GUGAGGAAUAUUGGACAAUGGAUGGAAAUCUGAUCCAGCCAUGCCGCGUGCAGGAAGACGGCCCUAUGGGUUGUAAACUGCUUUUAUACGGGAGCAAUAAGGUCUAUGCAUAGAUUGAUGAGAGUACCGUAUGAAUAAGCAUCGGCUAACUCCGUGCCAGCAGCCGCGGUAAUACGGAGGAUGCGAGCGUUAUCCGGAUUUAUUGGGUUUAAAGGGUGCGUAGGCGGCUUUGUAAGUCAGCGGUGAAAUUUUGCAGCUUAACUGUAAAAGCGCCGUUGAUACUGUGAAGCUAGGAUUUGGUUGCUGUGGGCGGAAUGUGUGGUGUAGCGGUGAAAUGCAUAGAGAUCACACAGAAUAUCGAUUGCGAAGGCAGCUCACAAAGCCAAUAUUGACGCUGAGGCACGAAAGUGUGGGGAUCAAACAGGAUUAGAAACCCUUGUAGUCC
RNAcentral lists this ribosomal RNA (445 nucleotides) under uncultured bacterium. Its description in RNAcentral is "partial 16S ribosomal RNA". It matches the Rfam family "Bacterial small subunit ribosomal RNA", at positions 354 to 796 of the family's 1533-position model. The record is from RNAcentral.